Molecule: non-coding RNA, 46 nt
Organism: Apis mellifera (honey bee)
Lineage: Eukaryota; Metazoa; Arthropoda; Insecta; Hymenoptera; Apidae
Source: Rfam
AAAUCGGUCCUUCUCAGGACCAUCAAUUUUUAUAACGAAGAACAAU